GAUGAAGAACGUAGUGAAAUGCGAUAAGUAAUGUGAAUUGCAGAAUUCAGUGAAUCAUCGAAUCUUUGAACGCACAUUGCGCCCGCCAGUAUUCUGGCGGGCAUGCCUGUUCGAGCGUCAUUUCAACCCUCAGGCCCCCAGUGCCUGGUGUUGGGGAUCGGCCCAGCCUUCCUGUAAGGCCGCCGGCCCCGAAAUCUAGUGGCGGUCUCGCUGUAGUCCUCCUCUGCGUAGUAGCACAACCUCGCAGUUGGAACGCGGCGGUGGCCAUGCCGUUAAACACCCCACUUCUGAAAGUUGACCUCGGAUCAGGUAGGAAUACCCGCUGAACUUAAGCAUACCAAUAAGCGGAGGA
This 352-nucleotide unclassified non-coding RNA is filed under the name soil metagenome. RNAcentral describes it as "partial contains 5.8S ribosomal RNA, internal transcribed spacer 2, and large subunit ribosomal RNA". The stretch from base 1 to 120 matches the Rfam family "5.8S ribosomal RNA", at positions 35 to 154 of the family's 154-position model. The record is from RNAcentral.